CUAACAAGUCAGAGGUGAGGGACUGUUUACGCCAAACAAGCACAAAGUACAGAUAUAUAAGCUAAACUAGGUCAGUAUUUUAAAUAAUAUAGUAAAAUAGCAACUUGUUGAAUAAGUGUCAGAAUGUUCCCAAAGAAGACACUUUAAUUACAUGACAUGACGCCAGCACAUCUCAACUGCUGUGCAAUCUAUGGCUGAGCAGUGUGCCGAGGACAUCGAUUAAGUGGUAUCUUGACCAUGACAUCAGCAAAAGUAGUGGUAAGUUUUCGUGAAGUGUGAGCCCUGCUUCCAAGUGAUCCAUGAUCCGGUGGGCAUGUGCUUCUGACAAAGGUCUCAUUUGCAAUGCAGUUCCAAGACAUUCAAUGGCAGUAAUGGAUUGGCUAACUAGCAAGUAGGUUUUACAUGAACCUGGAUGAGUUAUGUUUCGCUCUGCAAAGUGUGUAUACUGUAAGUAUUGCGCUUAUCACACACACCAGCUGUUUGGUUGUAACGUGCAUCUCUCUUCGUUGGAGAUUUCGAUGUCAAAUUUGGAGGUGCCAUGUGAACUCACUAAUGCUAAUAGUAGCCUGUAUGUAGCAAUUCCAGUGUGAAUUAGCAUCAAGCUAACAUUUUGGAACUCUGGAGACUUAUUUUACAUUUGAGUGUUUUCUACCAAGUAUACUUGCUUUGUUGGUGUUGAAAAUUGCAACAUUAUUUUGGAGUUUGGCUGAGUGCUUUGAGUCUGUGUUUAGUGGUCACGUGCAACACCGGUAUUAAAAACUGUUAGAUAUUACAUGAAUCAAUACCCAGUAGAACCAACAUAAUUCAGUUGGUGCCUAUAAAAGUGUCUGCCAGUGUACGACUGGAAAUGCUGCCUGGCUGGUGUUUAGGUGCAUCAAAUUCAAAGCCCCCUGGAUUCAGUCAAAAAUAGGAGAACACAAUACAGAGUUGUUUAAUUUGUUGAAAAUACAAAAAAUACAAUGAAUUUACAAGCCUAGUAGUAGCAGACAUAAAUAACUUAGCAGCACUGUUUUUGUGGCCACAGGUUAAGAGCGAAACAUUUCACAUUGUUAUAGUUAAGACAUUUUCCAAUUCAAUCGAAACUGAAGCCUCUUCUCGCAGCUGUGGGCCCUCUGGAGUCCUCCGUUGGCUGAAGCACUGCCCUCUGGUGGUACCAGUGACACAUCUUAGUCAAACACACGCUAAAGCGGGUAUGCAUUGAUCACAGGGAUGGAACAUGGAACGUAUGAUAGAGCUGUUUUCGCGGGGUUUCAAAGAAAUAAUACAAACGCGUAUGUAUCAUCGGGCAGUGCUUCCAGCCAAAGGAGGACUUCAUUACGCCCACGUUAUGCGAUACGUGGCUUCAACAUUCUACCGUUUUGUUUUUGGUGAUUUUGUCGUUUGCAAAACAGCUCUAUCAUAUUUGGAAGA
This is a long non-coding RNA of Nerophis ophidion (straightnose pipefish), 1410 nucleotides long. RefSeq lists it as uncharacterized. The transcript has 4 exons. The record is from RefSeq and is a predicted model, not a curated record. Lineage: Eukaryota; Metazoa; Chordata; Actinopteri; Syngnathiformes; Syngnathidae.